GUAGUAGCAAAUACUCUAGCGAGACCCUGGAGGGCUGAUGUGGAGAAGGGUUUCGUGUGAACAGCCGUUGCACACGAGUCAGUCGAUCCUAAGCUCUAGGAGAAAUCCGAUGUAUGAGUGGCCGCUGGUCCCGUCGAGCGAAAGGGAAUCCGGUCCCUAUUCCGGAACCCGGUUGCGGAACCGUCUCACGUCGGGCCCCCGGCUUCGGCCGGUAGCUCGUCGGGGUAACCCAAACAGACCCGGAGAAGCCGUCGGGAGGUCGGGGAAGAGUUUUCUUUUCUGUUUGAGCGUUCGGGUUCCCUGGAAUUGUCUAGCACAGAGAGAGGGAAUGGAGCGCGUAGAGCACCGCAGUUGCGGCGGUGUCCCGACAUGCCCUUCGGACCUUGAAAAUCCGGGGAAGGGCCACGUGGAGGUAUCGCACCGGUUCGUACCCAUAUCCGCAGCAGGUCUCCAAGGUGAAGAGCCUCUAGUCGAUAGACUAAUGUAGGUAAGGGAAGUCGGCAAAUUGGAUCCGUAACUUCGGAAUAAGGAU
RNAcentral lists this ribosomal RNA (532 nucleotides) under Odontogryllus setosus. RNAcentral's name for it is "eukaryotic LSU rRNA". It matches the Rfam family "Eukaryotic large subunit ribosomal RNA", at positions 1457 to 1948 of the family's 3401-position model. Lineage: Eukaryota; Metazoa; Arthropoda; Insecta; Orthoptera; Gryllidae. The record is from RNAcentral.